Molecule: ribosomal RNA, 505 nt
Filed under: Aspergillus fumigatus
Lineage: Eukaryota; Fungi; Ascomycota; Eurotiomycetes; Eurotiales; Aspergillaceae
Description: eukaryotic LSU rRNA
Rfam family: 5.8S ribosomal RNA (bases 133-286)
Source: RNAcentral
AGCUUCGGCGGGCCCGCCGUUUCGACGGCCGCCGGGGAGGCCUUGCGCCCCCGGGCCCGCGCCCGCCGAAGACCCCAACAUGAACGCUGUUCUGAAAGUAUGCAGUCUGAGUUGAUUAUCGUAAUCAGUUAAAACUUUCAACAACGGAUCUCUUGGUUCCGGCAUCGAUGAAGAACGCAGCGAAAUGCGAUAAGUAAUGUGAAUUGCAGAAUUCAGUGAAUCAUCGAGUCUUUGAACGCACAUUGCGCCCCCUGGUAUUCCGGGGGGCAUGCCUGUCCGAGCGUCAUUGCUGCCCUCAAGCACGGCUUGUGUGUUGGGCCCCCGUCCCCCUCUCCCGGGGGACGGGCCCGAAAGGCAGCGGCGGCACCGCGUCCGGUCCUCGAGCGUAUGGGGCUUUGUCACCUGCUCUGUAGGCCCGGCCGGCGCCAGCCGACACCCAACUUUAUUUUUCUAAGGUUGACCUCGGAUCAGGUAGGGAUACCCGCUGAACUUAAGCAUAUCAAUA